Molecule: long non-coding RNA, 1157 nt
Filed under: Heterocephalus glaber (naked mole-rat)
Lineage: Eukaryota; Metazoa; Chordata; Mammalia; Rodentia; Bathyergidae
Description: lncRNA (ENSHGLG00100032736.2)
Source: RNAcentral
AGGAAAUUGCUCUGGAGGCUAUGGAUCAUCACUGGGCAGUGGCAUUCUCCUCCUCCCAGCCCUGUCAUGGGUGAGAUGUGACAGGACCCCAGGUUCACAGCCUCCCACCCCCUGCUCCAGCCCAGGAGGAGUUUCUCUCCUGACCCUGUCCUCCUAUCCCCCCACCCACAGAGAGUCUAGACCUAGGUUGGCAGUGGUGCAGGGGACUCACAGUGGUGGGCAGGCCUAAAUGUUCUUGUGCUGAACUCGGUGUCUCAGAGUGCCUGGUGGCCAGGCUGAGGGAGACCUGCCCUGGGCUUCUUCUCAUAUCAGGCCCUGAGGACUCUGAGUGUUGUGAGACAUGCCCUGUGCUGCCCAUUGAGGCUGGGUUGUUCUGGCCAGUGGCCUGAAGCACGUGGACUUAGUCAUCCAUCCUCUCACUUGUUCCCAAGUGCUUUCCCUGUGUGGUGUCUUGAGGCUGCAGCCUUGAGGCCUGGGAAACAGCACAAUAUGUUCACUGCAGACUGUCUCCUGCCAAGUGACUGUUAGGCAGCCUUUGUGAGACUGCGGUGCCCCAUUACUGCAGGGUUCCAAGUUCUGUUGGGACCUGUCACCAUGGAAGUGAAGUCAUGUGCUGGGGUCCAUAAGAUGAGCCUCCUGGUCUGGUUGGAAAUCAGGCAGCCCAGAGCCUGGCAGAGGUCUGCACAAUGAGGACAGCACAGGCAGGCAAGCCACAUGCCCUGAUGGAGCCCCCCAGAGCAGACCUCCCUGGACAGCUGCCCCAUCAGUGGGCCCUCCUUCGUGGAUCCCAAAGGGGCCUGCAUUUUUUCCCCACAGGAGGGCAUGGUGGGAAGGAGCACCUCCAUUCCAAGCUGAAGUCCCAGCGGCAGAGCCUGUGCCAACUGCACCUGCAGGUGCUUCCUCAGCUCUGGCACCACAGCCAGAGCCAGAACCAGGAUUCCCUUGUCCUUUAACUGCACUUCUGGGGCUCCUGGUGGCUUCUCAGAGGUUGUCAGCUCCUGAGAUUCCCCUGGGGCCAGCUCCUGCCCCACACCUGCCAUUCCCCUCUAUUACUGCUGCUCAUGUUUUAUUCUUUACUUUUGUGCUUAUAUUCUGGAUUUUUGUAAAUAAUAGAGCAAUUUUAAAAUAAAAGUUAAGACUUUACUGUUGUUUAAAAU